Molecule: long non-coding RNA, 206 nt
Organism: Gopherus evgoodei (Goodes thornscrub tortoise)
Lineage: Eukaryota; Metazoa; Chordata; Testudines; Testudinidae
Exons: 3
Source: RefSeq, a predicted model, not a curated record
AUCAUAGACUAUCAGGGUUGGAAGGGACCUCAGGAGGUCAUGUAAUCCAACCCCACACUGAAAGCAGGAUCAAUCUGCAGACAGACUUUUGCCCUAGAUCUCUAAAUGGCCCCCUUAGGAAGUGAACUCACAACCCUGGGUUUAGCAGGCCAAUGCUCAAACCUCUAAGCUAUCCCUCUCUCCCAUAGUGGAUAUUAUAAAAUAUG